Molecule: ribosomal RNA, 427 nt
Filed under: uncultured bacterium
Lineage: Bacteria
Description: partial 16S ribosomal RNA
Rfam family: Bacterial small subunit ribosomal RNA
Source: RNAcentral
UGGGGAAUAUUGGACAAUGGGCGAAAGCCUGAUCCAGCCAUGCCGCGUGUGUGAAGAAGGUCUUCGGAUUGUAAAGCACUUUAAGUUGGGAGGAAGGGCAGUAAAUUAAUACUUUGCUGUUUUGACGUUACCGACAGAAUAAGCACCGGCUAACUCUGUGCCAGCAGCCGCGGUAAUACAGAGGGUGCAAGCGUUAAUCGGAAUUACUGGGCGUAAAGCGCGCGUAGGUGGUUCGUUAAGUUGGAUGUGAAAUCCCCGGGCUCAACCUGGGAACUGCAUUCAAAACUGGCGAGCUAGAGUAUGGUAGAGGGUGGUGGAAUUUCCUGUGUAGCGGUGAAAUGCGUAGAUAUAGGAAGGAACACCAGUGGCGAAGGCGACCACCUGGACUGAUACUGACACUGAGGUGCGAAAGCGUGGGGAGCAAACA